UGAUAUCAGGGUUAAAAGGUCAAAAGAUCGUUCGUGCUUGCACGAUAAGACUUUUGACCUUGGAACCCGCCAAACAUGAGAAAGAAGCGAUUUACGUAGUAAAUCAGCGGAUUUCGAAUGUUUGAGAAUUGCGGGAGCUGCUUUGCAGCGAAGCAAUUCGUGGAUAUCA
This is a small RNA of Firmicutes bacterium CAG:95, 169 nucleotides long. It matches the Rfam family "Clostridiales-1 RNA". The record is from Rfam. Lineage: Bacteria; Bacillati; Bacillota.